Molecule: ribosomal RNA, 602 nt
Filed under: Escherichia coli
Lineage: Bacteria; Pseudomonadati; Pseudomonadota; Gammaproteobacteria; Enterobacterales; Enterobacteriaceae
Description: partial 23S ribosomal RNA
Rfam family: Bacterial large subunit ribosomal RNA
Source: RNAcentral
CACUGGUCGAGUCGGCCUGCGCGGAAGAUGUAACGGGGCUAAACCAUGCACCGAAGCUGCGGCAGCGACGCUUAUGCGUUGUUGGGUAGGGGAGCGUUCUGUAAGCCUGCGAAGGUGUGCUGUGAGGCAUGCUGGAGGUAUCAGAAGUGCGAAUGCUGACAUAAGUAACGAUAAAGCGGGUGAAAAGCCCGCUCGCCGGAAGACCAAGGGUUCCUGUCCAACGUUAAUCGGGGCAGGGUGAGUCGACCCCUAAGGCGAGGCCGAAAGGCGUAGUCGAUGGGAAACAGGUUAAUAUUCCUGUACUUGGUGUUACUGCGAAGGGGGGACGGAGAAGGCUAUGUUGGCCGGGCGACGGUUGUCCCGGUUUAAGCGUGUAGGCUGGUUUUCCAGGCAAAUCCGGAAAAUCAAGGCUGAGGCGUGAUGACGAGGCACUACGGUGCUGAAGCAACAAAUGCCCUGCUUCCAGGAAAAGCCUCUAAGCAUCAGGUAACAUCAAAUCGUACCCCAAACCGACACAGGUGGUCAGGUAGAGAAUACCAAGGCGCUUGAGAGAACUCGGGUGAAGGAACUAGGCAAAAUGGUGCCGUAACUUCGGGAGAAGG